UAGAUACUUGCAUUUUCCCUC
Molecule: non-coding RNA, 21 nt
Filed under: Caenorhabditis elegans
Lineage: Eukaryota; Metazoa; Nematoda; Chromadorea; Rhabditida; Rhabditidae
Source: RNAcentral